Long non-coding RNA from Peromyscus leucopus (white-footed mouse), 378 nucleotides. RefSeq lists it as uncharacterized. Lineage: Eukaryota; Metazoa; Chordata; Mammalia; Rodentia; Cricetidae. The transcript has 2 exons. The record is from RefSeq and is a predicted model, not a curated record.
UCUAAGAUGUGUAACAGGCCAGUGGUGACUUAAACUGCGGGGGAGCAAUUGAGGGACAUUAAGAAGGGCUUGAGGGACUUGAAGCCCUUUUGAGUUGUGAUGAGAAGAAGUCCAGACCUUGGGGCAGUGUGUGAAUCCCUCGCAGCUGGCCUGGGGAGGCUGCCAAUCCCUGGAGUCAGGACAAAAAUGGAUUCAUCAGUCCCUCGGGCCAAGGUUCUGUGGACAGAGUUGGGAGCUCGGCCAAGGAGAGCUGAAUUCACUUGAUCCCUUCAUGCCUGGGAUGAAUCUGGGCCACUGGGAGUUCACUUAGGGACCUCACUGUCUUAACUUGUUUGAGAAACCUUGGCUUGCCAUAGAAUAAAAUCCAACGGCAGCAUC